AACAAUUCAGUUUUUGGUUACUACAACUGUUUUCUUCAGUGUUUCCACAUUGUAUUUCUGUUUUGGUUCUAUGCUUUCAGCUCUCAUUAAUAAAACAUAUUUAUGGUGUGUUGCAGAGAUCUACAGUUGUAACAAAUUUAAGCUGAAGCAAAAAAACUUACAACUAAAAGCAAUAUUUUGACUUGAAAUAUCUGUUUUUCCU
Non-coding RNA from Biomphalaria pfeifferi, 202 nucleotides. Lineage: Eukaryota; Metazoa; Mollusca; Gastropoda; Planorbidae. The record is from the annotation of a GenBank genome assembly.